RNAcentral lists this ribosomal RNA (450 nucleotides) under Iphione sp. EN-2012. RNAcentral describes it as "partial 16S ribosomal RNA". It matches the Rfam family "Bacterial large subunit ribosomal RNA", at positions 1816 to 2563 of the family's 2925-position model. Lineage: Eukaryota; Metazoa; Annelida; Polychaeta; Phyllodocida; Iphionidae. The record is from RNAcentral.
UGCCUCUGGUUAUAUCAUCAAAGGUACCUCCUGCCCAGUGACCCCUUCCUUCAACGGCCGCGGUACCCUAACCGUGCAAAGGUAGCAUAAUCAUUUGCCUCUUAAUUGGAGGCUAGUAUGAACGGAUUAACGAGAUGCCCCCUGUCUCUAGACCAACUCCAAAAAUUAGACUUCAGGUGAAGAUACCUGGAUUCAAUUAAAAGACAAGAAGACCCUAUAGAGUUUUACCCUAGACACAAUAUCACACCCAGGGUUUAGUUGGGGCGACUAAGGAAAACAUAAAUCUUCCUCAUCAAACUAGAAUCUCAUUCUUAAUUUAUGACCCUACUCAGUGGAUUAACAGAAUAAACUACCUUAGGGAUAACAGGCUUAUCUUCCUAAAGAGCCCAAAUCGACAGGAAGGUUUGGCACCUCGAUGUUGGCUUAGAGUACCCUAAUGGAGCAGAACCC